UCUAAUAUGGCAGAAAAGUGCAAUAGAUUUAAGAUCUAUAUAUAAAGAAAAUCUUUUAUUAGAAAUUAAAUAA
RNAcentral lists this transfer RNA (73 nucleotides) under Erianthus versicolor. RNAcentral describes it as "tRNA-Leu". Lineage: Eukaryota; Metazoa; Arthropoda; Insecta; Orthoptera; Chorotypidae. The record is from RNAcentral.